AGAGUUUGAUCAUGGCUCAGGAUGAACGCUAGCUACAGGCUUAACACAUGCAAGUCGAGGGGCAGCGGAAGAAAGCUUGCUUCUUGCCGGCGACCGGCGCACGGGUGAGUAACGCGUAUCCAACCUUCCCCUUAGUAGGGCAUAGCCCGUAGAAAUGCGGAUUAAUACCCUAUGUUGUUCGAUGCGGACAUCUAAGUUGAACCAAAGGUUUACCGCUAAGGGAUGGGGAUGCGUCUGAUUAGGCAGCAGGCGGGGUAACGGCCCACCUGGCCGACGAUCAGUAGGGGUUCUGAGAGGAAGGUCCCCCACAUUGGAACUGAGACACGGUCCAAACUCCUACGGGAGGCAGCAGUGAGGAAUAUUGGUCAAUGGGCGAGAGCCUGAACCAGCCAAGUAGCGUGCCAGGAUGACGGCCCUAUGGGUUGUAAACUGCUUUUAUGCGGGGAUAAAGUCACCCACGUGUGGGUGUUUGUAGGUACCGCAUGAAUAAGGACCGGCUAAUUCCGUGCCAGCCGCAGC
RNAcentral lists this ribosomal RNA (519 nucleotides) under uncultured bacterium. RNAcentral describes it as "bacterial SSU rRNA". It matches the Rfam family "Bacterial small subunit ribosomal RNA", at positions 8 to 518 of the family's 1533-position model. The record is from RNAcentral.